Molecule: small RNA, 123 nt
Filed under: Sinorhizobium meliloti 2011
Lineage: Bacteria; Pseudomonadati; Pseudomonadota; Alphaproteobacteria; Hyphomicrobiales; Rhizobiaceae
Description: putative ncRNA
Source: RNAcentral
GGGUGAAGACCACGCCGAAAAGGAAGUCGUUCCAAAUCCCGGUCACCUGGAGGAUCAUCGCAACCACGAAGAUCGGCAGUGACAUCGGCAGCAUGAUCUUGAAAUAGAUCGUCCAGAACCCUG